RNAcentral lists this unclassified non-coding RNA (297 nucleotides) under fungal sp. Its description in RNAcentral is "partial internal transcribed spacer region". The stretch from base 1 to 46 matches the Rfam family "Eukaryotic small subunit ribosomal RNA", at positions 1786 to 1831 of the family's 1831-position model. The record is from RNAcentral. Lineage: Eukaryota; Fungi.
AAGUCGUAACAAGGUUUCCGUAGGUGAACCUGCGGAAGGAUCAUUACAAAUCCACGUGUGUGUGUAUGAUCAUGUUGAACCCGUUGUGAGAGAGAGGUGUUUUUGGAGGGGGGAAUGUCUUUAUGGAAAACGGGGUCACUCUCCUCAGAGAGGGUCACUUCUUCCAACAAGACCCCCUCCAAAACACCACCACUGCUCACUGAAAUACUCUAGUUGAUGAUCGAUCAUGUUGUACCUUUUGGAGGCUUGAGGCCUCGAAUAGAAACACAACUUGUAACAAUGGAUCUCUAGGCUCUU